CCUACGGGUGGCAGCAGUGGGGAAUAUUGCACAAUGAGGGGAACCUUGAUGCAGCAAUGCCGCGUGAAGGAUGAAGGUUUUCGGAUUGUAAACUUCUUUUGUACGGGACGAAGAAAGUGACGGUACCGUAAGUAUAAGCCACGGCUAACUACGUGCCAGCAGCCGCGGUAAUACGUAGGUGGCAAGCGUUAUCCGGAUUUACUGGGUGGAAAGGGCGAGUUGGCGGGAUUGCAAGUCAGAUGUGAAAACUACGGGCCUAACCGCUUGAGCGCAUUGGAAACUGCAGUACUUGAGUGAUGGAGAGGCAGGCGGAAUUCCAGGUGUAGCGGUGGAAUGCGUAGAUAUCGGGAAGAACACCAGAGGCGAAGGCGGCCUGCUGGAUCUUAACUGACGCUGAGGCGCGAAAGCGUGGGGAGCAAACAGGAUUAGAUACCCCAGUAGUC
This 443-nucleotide ribosomal RNA is filed under the name uncultured bacterium. RNAcentral's name for it is "partial 16S ribosomal RNA". It matches the Rfam family "Bacterial small subunit ribosomal RNA", at positions 338 to 795 of the family's 1533-position model. The record is from RNAcentral.